Salvia splendens (bonfire salvia) is the source of this 1654-nucleotide long non-coding RNA. RefSeq lists it as uncharacterized. The transcript is spliced from 2 exons. NCBI's taxonomy places the organism in Eukaryota, Viridiplantae, Streptophyta, Magnoliopsida, Lamiales, Lamiaceae. The record is from RefSeq and is a predicted model, not a curated record.
UUCCGCCUCCUUAUAUCCAACCCUUUACCUCUCACCAUUUCUGUUUACUAAUCUCUUAAUUUCUAUUUAAAUUUUGUUAAUCUUUUUGUGUUUUUAUGUGCGUCGAAAUACUGAUUACCAGCGCCAGAGAUUUAAUCGGCGUUGCGUAUGAGCCGACGCCAUAUUUAUCUCUACCUGCUUCUGCUUCUGCUUCAACUUCUCGAUCGGAGCUCGCUCGUUUCGAGCUUUAAUCUUUCAGAACUGGAGAAAUUUCGUUCAAUUUCGUAAUUGCUUUUCAAAAUUUUGGCUUUGUUUUCUUAUCUUAAAUGUUUUCUUUGGAGAUGGAAGUGAUGCAUUUUUCCCCAGAUGAUUCGACGCUGAAAUAACUGAGCGCUCCUUUAUUUUCUUCCAUUCCGAGAAAAUUCAAGCCAAAAGUCUGAUCCGUCUCUUAUUAUCAAUUUAAAUAUUCAAUCAUAUUUUCCUAAUAAAUCAGCAUUUUCCUAUUUCUUGGAAUAUCAAUACUUUUGAUGAUGUUAUCAUGAAAUUAUCAAAUAGUGUAUUAUAUAAUCUCUUUUUGGAUGAAUGUGAUGAAUAUUUCCCCAGAUGAUUCGACGCUGAAAUAACUGAGCGCUCCUUUAUUUUCUUCCAUUCCGAGAAAAUUCAAGCCAAAAGUCUGAUCCGUCUCUUAUUAUCAAUUUAAAUAUUCAAUCAUAUUUUCCUAAUAAAUCAGCAUUUUCCUAUUUCUUGGAAUAUCAAUACUUUUGAUGAUGUUAUCAUGAAAUUAUCAAAUAGUGUAUUAUAUAAUCUCUUUUUGGAUGAAUGUGAUGAAUAUUUCCCCAGAUGAUUCGACGCUGAAAUAACUGAGCGCUCCUUUAUUUUCUUCCAUUCCGAGAAAAUUCAAGCUAAAAGUCUGAUCCGUCUCUUAUUAUCAAUUUAAAUAUUCAAUCAUAUUUUCCUAAUAAAUCAGCAUUUUCCUAUUUCGUGGAAUAUCAAUACUUUUGAUGAUGUUAUCAUGAAAUUAUCAAAUAGUGUAUUAUAUAAUCUCUUUUUGGAUGGAUGUGAUGAAUAUUUCCCCAGAUGAUUCGACGCUGAAAUAACUGAGUGCUCUUAUAUUUUCUCUCGUUACAGAGAAAAUCCAAGCCAAAGUUCUGAUCCAUCUUUAUAUUGUAUGAAAUAAUCCCCUUCCAUGAAAUAAUAUCCCAAUUUGUUAUAUUGGGACGUCUAUAAUAUAAAUCUCUAUUUUAGAUUAUAGAUAUUGGACUUAAUGGCAUAAUUUUAACCCGGAUGAUUUGAUUCUGAAAUAAUAGUAGAGGAACUCACGGUCGGAACCUUGGUGUAUACCACUGGAACUUCCGGUUGCAUUUUUCUUCUCAUUUGUUCGACGAAGGACUGGAUGUUGACGACUGGAUAGGGACGGCUACGGUGAAGGCGACAGCGAGAAGAUGAGAAGAACGCGGUUUCUUUUUCAAAUGAAUUGAAUUUGCCAAUGAUGUAAUUUUGGCUGUGCAAUGACCAUUACACUCCCGCCUUGUUAUUGUGAAGUAAAUUUGUGAUAGAGGGAACUAAUUUCUCCUUUAAAUUCGAAAAUUACAUGUAUUAAUACUAGACAUUGUUUUUUUUUAUCUUGUGGCUGUGAUUUGUUAUCUAGUUAUGUAGUUAAUAGGCACUUGCCCUA